This 873-nucleotide ribosomal RNA is filed under the name Clitopilus scyphoides. Its description in RNAcentral is "partial large subunit ribosomal RNA". It matches the Rfam family "Eukaryotic large subunit ribosomal RNA", at positions 66 to 926 of the family's 3401-position model. Lineage: Eukaryota; Fungi; Basidiomycota; Agaricomycetes; Agaricales; Entolomataceae. The record is from RNAcentral.
UAACAAGGAUUCCCCUAGUAACUGCGAGUGAAGCGGGAAAAGCUCAAAUUUAAAAUCUGGUAGUCUUUGGCUGCCCGAGUUGUAAUCUAGAGAAGCGUUAUCCGCGCUGGACCGUGUAUAAGUCUCCUGGAAUGGAGCGUCAUAGAGGGUGAGAAUCCCGUCUUUGACACGGACUCCCAGGGCUUUGUGAUGCGCUCUCAAAGAGUCGAGUUGUUUGGGAAUGCAGCUCUAAAUGGGUGGUAAAUUCCAUCUAAAGCUAAAUAUUGGCGAGAGACCGAUAGCGAACAAGUACCGUGAGGGAAAGAUGAAAAGAACUUUGGAAAGAGAGUUAAACAGUACGUGAAAUUGUUGAAAGGGAAACGCUUGAAGUCAGUCGCGUUGGCUAGGAAUCAGCCUUGCUUUUGCUUGGUGUACUUCCUGGUUGACGGGUCAGCAUCAAUUUUGACCGGUGGAAAAAGAUCAGAGGAAUGUGGCAUCUUCGGAUGUGUUAUAGCUUCUGGUUGUAUACAUCGGUUGGGAUUGAGGAACUCAGCACGCCGCAAGGUCGGGGUUCGCCCACGUUCGUGCUUAGGAUGCUGGCAUAAUGGCUUUAAUCGACCCGUCUUGAAACACGGACCAAGGAGUCUAACAUGCCUGCGAGUGUUUGGGUGGUAAACCCGAGCGCGUAAUGAAAGUGAAAGUUGAGAUCCCUGUCGUGGGGAGCAUCGACGCCCGGACCAGACCUUCUGUGACGGCUCCGCGGUAGAGCAUGUAUGUUGGGACCCGAAAGAUGGUGAACUAUGCCUGAAUAGGGUGAAGCCAGAGGAAACUCUGGUGGAGGCUCGUAGCGAUUCUGACGUGCAAAUCGAUCGUCAAAUUUGGGUAUAGGGGCGA